This 491-nucleotide ribosomal RNA is filed under the name uncultured bacterium. Its description in RNAcentral is "partial 16S ribosomal RNA". It matches the Rfam family "Bacterial small subunit ribosomal RNA", at positions 29 to 507 of the family's 1533-position model. The record is from RNAcentral.
GUGAACGCUGGCGGUAGGCCUAACACCUGCAAGUCGAACGGCAGCACAGUAAGAGCUUGCUCUUCCGGGUGGCGAGUGGCGGACGGGUGAGGAAUACAUCGGAAUCUACUUUUUCGUGGGGGAUAACGUAGGGAAACUUACUCUAAUACCGCAUACGACCUACGGGUGAAAGCAGGGGAUCUUCGGACCUUGCGCGAUUGAAUGAGCCGAUGUCGGAUUAGCUAGUUGGCGGGGUAAAGGCCCACCAAGGCGACGAUCCGUAGCUGGUCUGAGAGGAUGAUCAGCCACACUGGAACUGAGACACGGUCCAGACUCCUACGGGAGGCAGCAGUGGGGAAUAUUGGACAAUGGGCGCAAGCCUGAUCCAGCCAUACCGCGUGGGUGAAGAAGGCCUUCGGGUUGUAAAGCCCUUUUGUUGGGAAAGAAAAGCAGCAGGUUAAUACCCCGCUGUUCUGACGGUACCCAAAGAAUAAGCACCGGCUAACUUCGUG